GGGGAAUAUUGCACAAUGGAGGAAACUCUGAUGCAGCGACGCCGCGUGAGUGAAGAAGGUCUUCGGAUCGUAAAACUCUGUCCUUGGUGAAGAUAAUGACGGUAGCCAAGGAGGAAGCCCCGGCUAACUACGUGCCAGCAGCCGCGGUAAUACGUAGGGGGCUAGCGUUGUCCGGAUUUACUGGGCGUAAAGGGUGAGUAGGCGGUUGCAUAUGUCAGAUGUAAAAGGCGUAGGCUUAACUUACGUUAGCAUUUGAAACUGUGCGACUUGAGUGCAGGAGAGGUAAGCGGAAUUCCUAGUGUAGCGGUGAAAUGCGUAGAUAUUAGGAGGAACACCAGUGGCGAAGGCGGCUUACUGGACUGUAACUGACGCUGAGUCACGAAAGCGUGGGUAGCAAAC
RNAcentral lists this ribosomal RNA (399 nucleotides) under uncultured bacterium. RNAcentral's name for it is "bacterial SSU rRNA". It matches the Rfam family "Bacterial small subunit ribosomal RNA", at positions 356 to 773 of the family's 1533-position model. The record is from RNAcentral.